UACGGAGGGUGCGAGCGUUGUCCGGAAUCACUGGGCGUAAAGGGCGCGUAGGCGGUCUGCUAAGCGUGCGGUGAAAGCCUGGGGCUCAACCCCAGGUCUGCCGUGCGAACUGGUGGACUCGAGCACUGUAGAGGCAGGUGGAAUUCCGGGUGUAGCGGUGGAAUGCGUAGAGAUCAUGAGGAAGACCAGUGGCGAAGGCGGGUCUCUGGACAGUUCCUGACACUGAGGCACGAAGGCCAGGGGAGCAAACGGG
Molecule: ribosomal RNA, 253 nt
Filed under: uncultured bacterium
Lineage: Bacteria
Description: partial 16S ribosomal RNA
Rfam family: Bacterial small subunit ribosomal RNA
Source: RNAcentral